AGAGUUUGAUCCUGGCUCAGGAUGAACGCUAGCGGCAGGCUUAACACAUGCAAGUCGAGGGGCAGCGGGGAGGAAGCUUGCUUUCUCCGCCGGCGACCGGCGCACGGGUGAGUAACACGUAUGCAACCUGCCCCUGUCAGGGGGACAACCCGCCGAAAGGCGGGCUAAACCCGCGUACAUGCCACCGGGGCAUCCCGGAGGCAGGAAAGGCUUCGGCCGGACAGGGAUGGGCAUGCGGCGCAUUAGGCAGUAGGCGGGGUAACGGCCCACCUAACCGACGAUGCGUAGGGGUUCUGAGAGGAAGGUCCCCCGCACUGGUACUGAGACACGGACCAGACUCCUACGGGAGGCAGCAGUGAGGAAUAUUGGUCAAUGGUCGGGAGACUGAACCAGCCAAGCCGCGUGAGGGAGGAAGGUACAGAGUAUCGUAAACCUCUUUUGUCAGGGAACAAAGGCGGGGACGUGUCCCCGGAUGAGUGUACCUGAAGAAAAAGCAUCGGCUAACUCCGUGCCAGCAGCCGCGGUAAUACGGAGGAUGCGAGCGUUAUCCGGAUUUAUUGGGUUUAAAGGGUGCGCAGGCGGUCUGUUAAGUCAGCGGUCAAAGCCCGGGGCUCAACCCCGGCCCGCCGUUGAAACUGGCAGUCUCGAGUUGGAGAGAAGUAUGCGGGAUGCGCGGUGUAGCGGUGAAAUGCAUAGAUAUCGCGCAGAACUCCGAUUGCGAAGGCAGCAUGCCGGCUCCACACUGACGCUGAGGCACGAAAGCGUGGGUAUCGAACAGGAUUAGAUACCCUGGUAGUCCACGCAGUAAACGAUGAAUGCUGGCUGUCCGGGGGGAUUGACCCCUGGGUGGCGAAGCGAAAGCGAUAAGCAUUCCACCUGGGGGAGUACGCCGGCAACGGUGAAACUCAAAGGAAUUGACGGGGGCCCGCACAAGCGGAGGAACAUGUGGUUUAAUUCGAUGAUACGCGAGGAACCUUACCCGGGCUCAAACGGGGAGUGACUCAGGCAGAGACGCCUGUUUCCCACGGGACACUCCCCGAGGUGCUGCAUGGUUGUCGUCAGCUCGUGCCGUGAGGUGUCGGCUUAAGUGCCAUAACGAGCGCAACCCCCGCGUGCAGUUGCUAACAGAUAACGCUGAGGACUCUGCACGGACUGCCGGCGCAAGCCGCGAGGAAGGCGGGGAUGACGUCAAAUCAGCACGGCCCUUACGUCCGGGGCGACACACGUGUUACAAUGGGUGGUACAGCGGGAAGCCAGGCGGCGACGCCGAGCGGAACCCGAAAUCCACUCUCAGUUCGGAUCGGAGUCUGCAACCCGACUCCGUGAAGCUGGAUUCGCUAGUAAUCGCGCAUCAGCCAUGGCGCGGUGAAUACGAUCCCGGGCCUUGCACUCACCGCCCGUCA
Molecule: ribosomal RNA, 1403 nt
Filed under: uncultured bacterium
Lineage: Bacteria
Description: 16S ribosomal RNA
Rfam family: Bacterial small subunit ribosomal RNA
Source: RNAcentral